RNAcentral lists this ribosomal RNA (250 nucleotides) under uncultured prokaryote. RNAcentral describes it as "partial 16S rRNA". It matches the Rfam family "Bacterial small subunit ribosomal RNA", at positions 525 to 775 of the family's 1533-position model. The record is from RNAcentral.
ACGUAGGGGGCAAGCGUUAUCCGGAAUUAUUGGGCGUAAAGAGUGCGUAGGUGGUUUUUUAAGCGUGAGGUGAAAGGCAAUAGCUUAACUAUUGAAAUCCUUGAGAAGUGGAAGAUUUGAGUGCAGGAGAGGAAAGUGGAAUUCCUAGUGUAGCGUUGAAAUGCGUAGAUAUUAGGAGGAACACCAGUGGCGAAGGCGACUUUCUGGACUGGACCUGACGCUGAGGUACGAAAGCGUGGGGAGCAAACAG